This 1115-nucleotide long non-coding RNA is filed under the name Ananas comosus (pineapple). Its description in RNAcentral is "long non-coding RNA (ACOM_LNC044470)". The record is from RNAcentral. Lineage: Eukaryota; Viridiplantae; Streptophyta; Magnoliopsida; Poales; Bromeliaceae.
AAAAAAUUUGUGCAUUUAAAAAGGGGAAACAAUGUUAUUAUAGUAUCCAUGGUUGGGAAAUCCCCAAAUCCUUGACUGGACUAUAAAAUGAAUACUCAAAAGAAAGAUGUAAAGCUCUAUCAAUCAUCAUCAAUAGAUAUAUUAAAAGUAGAACUUUACUGUGGCCACUGUGUCGCCUCCUCAGUGUGGAAAUCACGCCAAAUACUAUACAUGAAUGAGAAUCCAAAUCUCCAACUGGACUAUAAAAUGAAUGGUCCAAAGAAAGAUGUAAAGCUCUAUAUAAAAUGAUUCUAUGGAAAAUAACGCCAAAUAGUAUACAUGAAUAAGGAUUGACUGUUGCAUGUAGCAGUUUUGCUUAAAUGUUUGAUGCAAUGCCUACUUGGUUACUACUACAAACUGCAUAAAUGUGCGUCAACUCUUAGUGCGGCUGCCACCAUAAUGCGCGUCAAAAUUAUCUAAUGCUUUACUUGUGUUUACUUUGAUAAAAACUAACAGAGGAUUGAUGGCCUGUUAUGCAGCGAAAAAAAUGACAGAGGAUAGACAAUAACAGAGAUGAGAGUACAAAAUAUAUCUAUACCACAAGUUUAGUUAGGACUUGGAUCAUUAUUAAUAUAUCCACCUAAAAGUGCAAAUUCUGAUGGAUCAUCUACAUGCUUACAUGAAAAUGAAACGAAAUCAACAUAACAUAAUAAUAAAUAAUUAAAAGGUUAUUGACAUAUCCAAGUAUAACAUAAUUAACCAUCUAAUUAAACACCAGUGUUUUUGUAAUCAUCUAUAUUUCCAUAAAUGCACUCAUUAUGCACCACUAUAGAGUACAAUCUUCAUAACCUUGUAACCAUAGCCGAAUACGCAUAGCCACAGUUCCCCUAGAAAUAAGGACAUGAGUAGUAGCCACGAAGUAUAAGAACAAUAGGAAGUGGUUGCCUAUGAGCAGGCCGUCCAAACUUCCGCUUGCUCCAAGCCAAUAUUUUUCACACUUUCACCUACUCAUCAUCAUCGCCUCAAAGAAGAGCUAGAAAAUGGACAGAAACACCAAGGAAUCGAAAAACCAAGUUUCAAAUAUUGCAAGAUACCAUGAAGCUUUUUGGGAGAUGCCAAUCUGCGAAACAUCUAUA